RNAcentral lists this ribosomal RNA (496 nucleotides) under uncultured Streptococcus sp. RNAcentral's name for it is "bacterial SSU rRNA". It matches the Rfam family "Bacterial small subunit ribosomal RNA", at positions 28 to 508 of the family's 1533-position model. The record is from RNAcentral. Lineage: Bacteria; Bacillati; Bacillota; Bacilli; Lactobacillales; Streptococcaceae.
GACGAACGCUGGCGGCGUGCCUAAUACAUGCAAGUAGAACGCUGAAGGAGGAGCUUGCUUCUCCGGAUGAGUUGCGAACGGGUGAGUAACGCGUAGGUAACCUGCCUGGUAGCGGGGGAUAACUAUUGGAAACGAUAGCUAAUACCGCAUAAGAGUAGAUGUUGCACGACAUUUGCUUAAAAGGUGCAAUUGCAUCACUACCAGAUGGACCUGCGUUGUAUUAGCUAGUUGGUGGGGUAACGGCUCACCAAGGCGACGAUACAUAGCCGACCUGAGAGGGUGAUCGGCCACACUGGGACUGAGACACGGCCCAGACUCCUACGGGAGGCAGCAGUAGGGAAUCUUCGGCAAUGGACGGAAGUCUGACCGAGCAACGCCGCGUGAGUGAAGAAGGUUUUCGGAUCGUAAAGCUCUGUUGUAAGAGAAGAACGAGUGUGAGAGUGGAAAGUUCACACUGUGACGGUAUCUUACCAGAAAGGGACGGCUAACUACGUGC